This is a long non-coding RNA of Brassica napus (rape), 2017 nucleotides long. RefSeq lists it as uncharacterized. The transcript is spliced from 2 exons. NCBI's taxonomy places the organism in Eukaryota, Viridiplantae, Streptophyta, Magnoliopsida, Brassicales, Brassicaceae. The record is from RefSeq and is a predicted model, not a curated record.
UGUGCUUAUCAAUAAUCGAUUGAUAAAAUCGUUUUUCUUAUCAGUACUAUUAAAAAUUCGUUUUGAUUUUAUUUUUAUGAAAUCGUUCCUCUCUAAUCUACUCUGGAAAAACCCCAAAAAAAUUGUGCUUGUUUUAUUUGUUUGUUAGAUCACGAAUCUCCACAACUCUCUAACCAAAUUGACUCGAACAUGGCGAUCUGAUCUCAUCACAAAACUUCAACCAGAGUUGAAAUAUUAAUUCUAAGAUGGAGAAAUACAAGUUAGACUAGUUACUAACAACUUUGUCUCGUCUUAUAAAUUGUAGUAGAUUUUGUUAGUUAUCCCGUUUACUUGAUCAAAUAACUAAAAACCGCUGAACUGGUUAUUGGUGGUUGUUUUCUGAAAAUACCACACGUAAGCAAAACAAUGUUUGCGAACAAGAGCCCUUACUUUCACUUUAAGACCAGCAUUAACCCUGGUUCUAAAGAAGGGUCUUAAGGUUUAAUUGGGGUUAAAAUAAAUGAAAAAUAAAAAUUAUCUUAAGAGUUGGAUUUUAAUUAAGAGGAGGAAGAAGCUGAUCUUGUGGGACACGUGGUAGAAGAAUGGGCGUUUGGUUCUCUCUUUUCUCUCUCCCGAGCGAUGAAACUUCAACGACCACAGUUCAUUCCACCUCUUCCAUCUCCAUCGAUUGAUUUCUCUUCCACGAUUCAUCACCAUCAGUCCGUUGAUCUCCUCCACGAUCGAAGACUACGGCUCUCUCUGUCCGCUCUCUCUCUCUCCGUCGAUGCGAUUGACGAAGAAUCACGCCGGUUCUCGAUCGAAGACUCCGACUCUCUCUCUCUUGGUGCUCUCUUGUCGAUGGGGAAAAACGAUGACGUCUCUCUCGGUGGUUCUCCCCCAGGAAGAAUCACGACGUCUCUCUCGGCGGCUCUGACUGAGGGAGAAUGACUCCGCGUUUGAUUUAUUCCUCGGUUGAUCACAAUCACUCCGCCUCUAAAGCUAAGUUCUUUGGUUUCUAGGUUUAAAUCCUUCAAUUCGUGCAUGCAUUAGCUUUGUUUGUUGUGUUGCAUGUUGUGUUCUGUAGGUCUGUGUCUCAAAGAAAUGAUAAACCCUUUUUGAUUAAGUAAAACAAAUACGCUCUUUGUUUAUAUGUUUGUUGUGUUGGUUGCAUUUUUGGUUGAAUGUUAUAGAUAUUACUUGUGUCUGUCGAUUAUGUCCGGUGAGUGAUUAUGUCCGGUGAGUAAUUCUUUGAUUCUAUUUGUUUGGUUUCAGUGUUUGUGUGUUAAUAUUGACUGAUCAAGAGCAUGGAUCAAUAGACAUGAGGACUGAUCAAGAGUGUGGAUCAAGAGACAACUGCAAUACAUGUCAAAAAAGCGUUAAAGUGUGUAGCAUUGGGAGGUCACGGAGAGCUCACAGUCACAGACUUGUCUUAAUUUUCUUGUCUGGUUCACAUGUUCUUUACUGUUUGUCUUGGUCUUGUAUUCUUCUGCAAAGAAAGGUCACAGACUUGUAUAGGGUUUGUCAGUUUGUAUGCAUCAGUCACGGGUUUGUCUGGUUCUCAUGUUUUAUGAGUCUAUAUAGACAUUGUAAAAUGAAAGUGUAUUCGUAAGAAGCUUUUCUUUUCUUUGAUCAACAUUGUGUUCUCUCUUCCUCUCCUCCUCUAAAUAUUCAUAUAAAUCAAAACAAACAUUAUCAAAUUUUUGAUAUCUUUUCCUCUCCCCUUCUCUAAAUAAUCAUAUAAGUCAAGAAAAAACCAUUUGUUCUCUCUUCCUCUCUACUUCGCUCAACACCAAAUUUUCUUAUAAAGAUUUUUCUUUGACUUCUUCUACACAAGUCUAUCUCAUCUUAAAGUCGAUAGACUAUCUCAUGGCAUCUUCUUCUCAAAACCCAUUUGACGAGUCACUUGAUGAGACUUUUGAUCAAUACUUUGAUCAAUAUUUUGAUCAAACUUUCAAAAAUUUAACCAUUGGUAAUCAAGAAGAAGAAAAGAAAAAAAGAAAAAAAAAAGAGUUUAUAUCGAAAGAAAUCGUGAAGAAGG